RNAcentral lists this long non-coding RNA (283 nucleotides) under Ananas comosus (pineapple). RNAcentral describes it as "long non-coding RNA (ACOM_LNC021829)". Lineage: Eukaryota; Viridiplantae; Streptophyta; Magnoliopsida; Poales; Bromeliaceae. The record is from RNAcentral.
AUUACUUCGAAAUUAACAAUGUUUGUGAUGUGACCUCCAAAAAUGAUCAUGAGUAUUUGAAGUGACUAGAAACUAAAUGCGUUGUUUUAAUUAUGACACUAUACAUCUUUAAUUUAUCGAUGCAUGCAUUAAGUAGUUUCUGAAACAUGUAACAAUUUCAGUGGCACUUGUAAGUAUAACAGUUAAAUAUGAUUGAAAAGAGUUGAAAAUUUAUCGAAGAUGUUUUAAAUAUCUAAAUCAAGAAUAGUUACUUAAUUAUAAUAUAUAUACAGGCUUUGGAAAU